This 379-nucleotide unclassified non-coding RNA is filed under the name Hevea brasiliensis (rubber tree). Lineage: Eukaryota; Viridiplantae; Streptophyta; Magnoliopsida; Malpighiales; Euphorbiaceae. The record is from RNAcentral.
UUGGUGAGGGAGCAAGGAUGGUUCGUGAGUUAUUCCAGAUGGCACGCUCAAAGAAGGCUUGCAUUGUAUUUUUUGAUGAGGUUGAUGCCAUAGGUGGUGCGCGUUUUGAUGAUGGUGUGGGAGGAGACAAUGAGGUCCAGCGUACAAUGCUUGAAAUUGUGAAUCAGCUUGACGGAUUUGAUGCCCGUGGAAACAUUAAAGUUCUUAUGGCCACAAACAGGCCUGACACUCUAGAUCCAGCACUACUACGUCCUGGACGAUUAGAUCGUAAGGUUGAGUUUGGCCUUCCAGAUUUGGAAAGUAGAACACAGAUAUUUAAGAUUCAUACACGAACAAUGAACUGUGAAAGGGAUAUCCGAUUUGAGCUUUUGGCUCGGCU